GAGUCCGGUAGCGCAGUGGUUGUCGCGCUCCACAGCACGUGGGGAGGACGUCGGUUCGAAUCCGGCCCGGCUCA
RNAcentral lists this transfer RNA (74 nucleotides) under Umezawaea endophytica. RNAcentral describes it as "tRNA-Cys". It matches the Rfam family "tRNA". Rfam says of the family: Transfer RNA (tRNA) molecules are approximately 80 nucleotides in length. Their secondary structure includes four short double-helical elements and three loops (D, anti-codon, and T loops). Further hydrogen bonds mediate the characteristic L-shaped molecular structure. tRNAs have two regions of fundamental functional importance: the anti-codon, which is responsible for specific mRNA codon recognition, and the 3' end, to which the tRNAs corresponding amino acid is attached (by aminoacyl-tRNA synthetases). tRNAs cope with the degeneracy of the genetic code in two manners: having more than one tRNA (with a specific anti-codon) for a particular amino acid; and 'wobble' base-pairing, i.e. permitting non-standard base-pairing at the 3rd anti-codon position. The record is from RNAcentral. Lineage: Bacteria; Bacillati; Actinomycetota; Actinomycetes; Pseudonocardiales; Pseudonocardiaceae. RNAcentral also lists the same sequence under 1 other name.